CUGCGUAAAGUAUGGGCUGAAGCAGUGCACUAUGUGUCUGGGCUAAAAGAAGACUACAGCAGGCUCUUUCAGGGACAAAGAGCAGCAAUGUUAAGUCUUCUUAGAUAUAAUGCUAACUUGACAAAAAUGAAGAACACUUUGAUCUCAGCAUCACAGCAACUGAAAGCUAAAUUGCAGUUUUUUC
Non-coding RNA from Microcebus murinus (gray mouse lemur), 184 nucleotides. The record is from RefSeq and is a predicted model, not a curated record. Lineage: Eukaryota; Metazoa; Chordata; Mammalia; Primates; Cheirogaleidae.